CCUACGGGAGGCUGCAGUCGAGAAUCAUUCACAAUGGGGGAAACCCUGAUGGUGCGACGCCGCGUGGGGGAAUGAAGGUCUUCGGAUUGUAAACCCCUGUCAUGUGGGAGCAAAUUAAAAAGAUAGUACCACAAGAGGAAGAGACGGCUAACUCUGUGCCAGCAGCCGCGGUAAUACAGAGGUCUCAAGCGUUGUUCGGAAUCACUGGGCGUAAAGCGUGCGGAGGCUGUUUCGUAAGUCGUGUGUGAAAGGCGCGGGCUCAACCCGCGGACGGCACAUGAUACUGCGAGACUAGAGUAAGGGAGGGGGAACCGGAAUUCUCGGUGUAGCAGUGAAAUGCGUAGAUAUCGAGAGGAACACUCGUGGCGAAGGCGGGUUCCUGGACAUUAACUGACGCUGAGGCACGAAGGCCAGGGGAGCGAAAGGGAUUAGAUACCCGGGUAGUC
RNAcentral lists this ribosomal RNA (446 nucleotides) under uncultured bacterium. RNAcentral describes it as "partial 16S ribosomal RNA". It matches the Rfam family "Bacterial small subunit ribosomal RNA", at positions 338 to 795 of the family's 1533-position model. The record is from RNAcentral.